GUGUCAGCCGCCGCGGUAAUACGUAGGGAGCAAGCGUUGUCCGGAUUUACUGGGUGUAAAGGGUGCGUAGGCGGCACUGCAAGUCAGGCGUGAAAGGCGGAGGCUUAACCUCCGAGUUGCGUUUGAAACUGUGGUGCUUGAGUGAAGUAGAGGUAGGCGGAAUUCCCGGUGUAGCGGUGAAAUGCGUAGAGAUCGGGAGGAACACCAGUGGCGAAGGCGGCCUACUGGGCUUUAACUGACGCUGAGGCACGAAAGCAUGGGUAGCAAACAGGAUUAGAUACCCUGGUAGUCCAUGCUGUAAACGAUGAUUACUAGGUGUGGGGGGUCUGACCCCUUCCGUGCCGGAGUUAACACAAUAAGUAAUCCACCUGGGGAGUACGACCGCAAGGUUGAA
Molecule: ribosomal RNA, 394 nt
Filed under: uncultured bacterium
Lineage: Bacteria
Description: bacterial SSU rRNA
Rfam family: Bacterial small subunit ribosomal RNA
Source: RNAcentral